GAUCCUGGCUCAGGACGAACGCUGGCGGCGUGCUUAACACAUGCAAGUCGAACGAGAAUCUACUGAAAGAGUUUUCGGACAAUGGAUGUAGAGGAAAGUGGCGGACGGGUGAGUAACGCGUGAGGAACCUGCCUUGAAGAGGGGGACAACAGUUGGAAACGACUGCUAAUACCGCAUGACGCAUAGGGGUCGCAUGAUCUUUAUGCCAAAGNUUUAUCGCUUCAAGAUGGCCUGCGU
This 237-nucleotide ribosomal RNA is filed under the name uncultured bacterium. Its description in RNAcentral is "partial 16S ribosomal RNA". It matches the Rfam family "Bacterial small subunit ribosomal RNA", at positions 15 to 236 of the family's 1533-position model. The record is from RNAcentral.